This 502-nucleotide ribosomal RNA is filed under the name uncultured bacterium. Its description in RNAcentral is "partial 16S ribosomal RNA". It matches the Rfam family "Bacterial small subunit ribosomal RNA", at positions 28 to 523 of the family's 1533-position model. The record is from RNAcentral.
GAUGAACGCUAGCGGCAGGCCUAACACAUGCAAGUCGAGGGGCAGCACAGAAACAGCAAUGUUUUGGUGGCGACCGGCGGACGGGUGCGUAACGCGUAUGCAACCUACCUUUAACAGGGGGAUAACGGAGAGAAAUUUCCACUAAUACCCCAUAACAUCGAUCAAGGCAUCUUGAUUGGUUGAAAACUCCGGUGGUUAACGAUGGGCAUGCGUUGUAUUAGGUAGUUGGUGAGGUAAUGGCUCACCAAGCCUACGAUACAUAGGGGGACUGAGAGGUUGGCCGCCCACACUGGUACUGAGACACGGACCAGGCUCCUACGGGAGGCAGCAGUGAGGAAUAUUGGUCAAUGGGGGCAACCCUGAACCAGCCAUGCCGCGUGCAGGAAGACGGCUCUAUGAGUUGUAAACCGCUUUUAAACAGGGAUAAAGCACAGUAUGUAUACUGUGUUGAAGGUACUGUAAGAAUAAGGAUCGGCUAACUCCGUGCCAGCCGCCGCCGUAA